UACGAAGGGGGCUAGCGUUGUUCGGAAUUACUGGGCGUAAAGCGCACGUAGGCGGACCUAUAAGUCAGGGGUGAAAUCCCGGGGCUCAACCUCGGAAUUGCCUUUGAUACUGUGGGUCUCGAGACCGGAAGAGGUGAGUGGAAUUCCUAGUGUAGAGGUGAAAUUCGUAGAUAUUAGGAAGAACACCAGUGGCGAAGGCGGCUCACUGGUCCGGUUCUGACGCUGAGGUGCGAAAGCGUGGGGAGCAAACAGG
Molecule: ribosomal RNA, 253 nt
Filed under: uncultured bacterium
Lineage: Bacteria
Description: partial 16S ribosomal RNA
Rfam family: Bacterial small subunit ribosomal RNA
Source: RNAcentral